Triangularia setosa is the source of this 142-nucleotide non-coding RNA. NCBI's taxonomy places the organism in Eukaryota, Fungi, Ascomycota, Sordariomycetes, Sordariales, Podosporaceae. The record is from the annotation of a GenBank genome assembly.
GGGCGUAUGGUCUAGUGGUUACGACAUCUCAUUUGCAAUUAAUGUUUGUUGCUCUCCAAGCUGCUCCAAACAGUCAAAAAGAGUUCAAAGAUAAUACAUUGCUCACAUGUGAAGGUCCCGGGUUCGAACCCCGGUUCGUCCA